Molecule: non-coding RNA, 21 nt
Filed under: Arabidopsis thaliana (thale cress)
Lineage: Eukaryota; Viridiplantae; Streptophyta; Magnoliopsida; Brassicales; Brassicaceae
Source: RNAcentral
CAUGCCUUCAACAUGUGGGUC